GAUGAACGCUAGCGAUAGGCCUAACACAUGCAAGUCGAGGGGCAUCACAUGAAGUAGCAAUACGGAUGGUGGCGACCGGCGCACGGGUGAGUAACACGUAUGCAACCUGCCUUCAACAAGGGGAUAACCCGUUGAAAGACGGACUAAUACCCUAUAACACAGGGGUCCCGCAUGGGAAUAUUUGUUAAAGGACAACCGGUUGAAGAUGGGCAUGCGUUCCAUUAGCUAGUUGGCGGGGUAACGGCCCACCAAGGCAACGAUGGAUAGGGGAACUGAGAGGUUUAUCCCCCACACUGGUACUGAGACACGGACCAGACUCCUACGGGAGGCAGCAGUGAGGAAUAUUGGUCAAUGGACGCAAGUCUGAACCAGCCACGUCGCGUGAAGGAAGACGGCCCUACGGGUUGUAAACUUCUUUUAUACGGGAAUAAAGUGCCCCACGCGUGGGGUUUUGCAUGUACCGUAUGAAUAAGGAUCGGCUAACUCCGUGCCAGCAGCCGCGGUAAG
RNAcentral lists this ribosomal RNA (507 nucleotides) under uncultured bacterium. RNAcentral's name for it is "bacterial SSU rRNA". It matches the Rfam family "Bacterial small subunit ribosomal RNA", at positions 28 to 524 of the family's 1533-position model. The record is from RNAcentral.